Molecule: unclassified non-coding RNA, 516 nt
Filed under: Zea mays
Lineage: Eukaryota; Viridiplantae; Streptophyta; Magnoliopsida; Poales; Poaceae
Description: misc RNA Zm00001eb109310
Source: RNAcentral
GGACUUGAGCCACUCCACGUCCUGCACGCACAAAUUCAGCAAAACAACACACCCCAUCAGGCCAUCAUCAACCACUCGCCUGAUUCCAAGAGAGGUGAAACCGGAUUUUUCAUUCUAUUAUCUAAAAAAAUGCUGGCAACGAACGGCAGGUACAGUGACCCAAGGCCGCUGUAUCCAAGGAUUUUUUUUGAGAAACUACUGUAGCCAAUACUGCGACGCAUGCAAUUCAAGGCCAGUAACGUGUCCUUGGGACAGGAUCGCAGGAGAGACGAUGCCGGUAGGCCACCGUCGCUAUACCAGCAUGCUGUUAUAUUAAGUGCCAUACGGCCGUUCAAAGAACAGUCUUUCAGUAUCCAGCAUACAGCCCUGAUGCCCGAUGUUGAUGCGUCCUUGCAUAUGCUUGCCCAGUACUGUGGAUGCUGGACCACGUGCUAUGGAAUUCAACAUUCAAGAAAAUUUAUGGGACGGCUACCAGCUGCUCUGUGUUAUCUACCUUCCAUGACAAUGAUGGAUCCA